GUAAAAAAAAAACUGCAGAGAGGAAAAAACAUUCUCUCAAUCCUUCCCCUUUCCGGCCAAAUGGGCCACCGUCGGCCCCGCCGUGGGCGGUGGUCGGUGGUCGGAAGCCCAAACGUCGGGCUUUUAAGCCCUGCUUCAAGGACCACUGAAGACCAAGUCUUCAUAGCCUCGGGGUCACGAGAGAAAAAAAAAAUCGUCGCCCUCCUUGCCCGAUUUCGGUGACCCGAAGUAGGACUCCGGCGACGAUGCUCGCGGGGCGAUUCCGGUAAGAUUCUUUCUCCUUUUCCCUUUUUUAUUAUUAUAUGUUCUCAUAUAUAUAUAUGAUUGAAAAAAACGAAAGAAAAAAAUAAGUGAACCAGAAACGGAAAUAAAAAAGGAAAAGAAGAACACCUUUUUUUUUGUAUUGAUUUCUCAAUAUUUUUGUUUUUUUUACAUUUUGUUCUUCUUCUUACAAUCUGUUUUAAAAUCGGUCUUUAUACCGAAAAUUAAAAACAAAAAACCUCCUGUUGCUUGUUGCUGUUGUCUCUCUUUAUUAUUUGCAGGUAUAGGGCGGUGGAGGAGACGUGACACGGACGGGGUAGGUGCGCCAUUUGCGCUGACGGGGCAGAAGUCAGAAGACCCUAGCAUGCGGCACCGAGGGAGGGGCUAGGGUUCUGAAACCCUAGUCUCUGUUGGGUUUGGGCCUAUUGUUUUUGUUUUGCUGGUAUAAGGCCCGGGCAAAUUUGGGCUGUACAGUAAAUAUAAAUACACAAUUGAUGAAAGUAAUAAAAUACGUAUAAUAAAAUUAAAAUGUAUAAAUAAAUCAAAAUAAUGCUUUGGUUGAAUGAUAAUUUUAAAAAAAAUUUAAUAUAAUUGACAUAAGUUUCAAUAUCACUAUAUACAUUUAUUUUUAUUUUUUAAAAUUAAAAAAAUUAAAAUAUCUUCAAAUGAUAUAUUUUAUUUUAAAUACAAA
RNAcentral lists this long non-coding RNA (952 nucleotides) under Gossypium raimondii (Peruvian cotton). RNAcentral's name for it is "long non-coding RNA (GRAI_LNC000095)". The record is from RNAcentral. Lineage: Eukaryota; Viridiplantae; Streptophyta; Magnoliopsida; Malvales; Malvaceae.